AACACUGUUAACCUGCGGUACCUGCGGAGGGAUCAUUACCGAGUUUACAAACUCCCAACCCUAUGUGAACCUUACCAAUCGUUGCUUCGGCGGGCUUAGCCCCCGCGCCCUCGCCGGCGCCGGGAGAAAGGCGCCCGCCGGGGACCCCAAACCCAAUGUUUUUCAUGCAGUAUUUCUGAGUGGCAAACGCAAAAAUAAAUCAAAACUUUUAACAAUGGAUCUCAGAUCGGAAGAGCACAC
Molecule: unclassified non-coding RNA, 240 nt
Filed under: soil metagenome
Description: partial contains 5.8S ribosomal RNA, internal transcribed spacer 2, and large subunit ribosomal RNA
Source: RNAcentral